UACCAGCACCCCGAGUGGUCGGGACGAUUAUUGGGCCUAAAGCAUCCGUAGCCGGUCAUGCAAGUCUUCCGUUAAAUCCAGCCGCUCAACGGUUGGGCUGCGGAGGAUACUACGUGGCUAGGAGGCGGGAGAGGCAAGCGGUACUCAGUGGGUAGGGGUAAAAUCCUUUGAUCCAUUGAAGACCACCAGUGGCGAAGGCGGCUUGCCAGAACGCGCUCGACGGUGAGGGAUGAAAGCUGGGGAGCAAACGGG
This 252-nucleotide ribosomal RNA is filed under the name uncultured bacterium. Its description in RNAcentral is "partial 16S ribosomal RNA". It matches the Rfam family "Archaeal small subunit ribosomal RNA", at positions 474 to 727 of the family's 1478-position model. The record is from RNAcentral.